RNAcentral lists this ribosomal RNA (480 nucleotides) under uncultured bacterium. RNAcentral's name for it is "partial 16S ribosomal RNA". It matches the Rfam family "Bacterial small subunit ribosomal RNA", at positions 28 to 506 of the family's 1533-position model. The record is from RNAcentral.
GAUGAACGCUGGCGGCGUGCUUAACACAUGCAAGUCGAACGAAGCACUUUAUUUGAUUUCCUUCGGGACUGAUUAUUUUGUGACUGAGUGGCGGACGGGUGAGUAACGCGUGGGUAACCUGCCUUGUACAGGGGGAUAACAGUUGGAAACGGCUGCUAAUACCGCAUAAGCGCACGGCACCGCAUGAUGCAGUGUGAAAAACUCCGGUGGUAUAAGAUGGACCCGCGUUGGAUUAGCUAGUUGGUGAGGUAACGGCCCACCAAGGCGACGAUCCAUAGCCGACCUGAGAGGGUGACCGGCCACAUUGGGACUGAGACACGGCCCAAACUCCUGCGGGAGGCAGCAGUGGGGAAUAUUGCACAAUGGGCGAAAGCCUGAUGCAGCGACGCCGCGUGAGCGAAGAAGUAUUUCGGUAUGUAAAGCUCUAUCAGCAGGGAAGAUAAUGACGGUACCUGACUAAGAAGCACCGGCUAAAUACGU